This is a long non-coding RNA of Bombyx mori (domestic silkworm), 3178 nucleotides long. RefSeq lists it as uncharacterized. The record is from RefSeq and is a predicted model, not a curated record. The transcript is spliced from 2 exons. Lineage: Eukaryota; Metazoa; Arthropoda; Insecta; Lepidoptera; Bombycidae.
UAAACCAGCUGGUAUUCAGAUAAGUUUUUACUGAGCUCAUACAUUAUCAUCACGUGAAGGCUACCCACCUUAACGCAUGAGGUUGAAGUAUUGAGUGUGACUUACGAGCAUUAAAAAGGUAUCUAUAUCUAGGUCUAUAUCUAUAUCUACAUCUAGGUAUCAUCUCUAGUAUCUAUAUCUAUAUCUAGGUAUCAUUCCAUACUUGAAUGGUAGGGAUUACAUUCUGCUUGUCUUGCAAUUGUGUAGUCGGAAAUUUCGACAUCGUCGAGGGCAAACGCGUCACUAAGGUAGCUUUUGGACUAGUGGCUAUAGAAUUUUAUAUGCCCUACUUUCUAAAAGUAUUGCAAAUAUUUGGUAUUGAUUAUUUAUUGUCAAAUGAGCGUUGCCGUUGGAUAUCCUCAGCAGUUAGGAGUUUAGAUUGUCUAAUCUUCUAGGUACUUUUUAAGCGCAUAUGACUUAGCAUUGGCCGACACUUCCACCCUUACAAUUUUUGUGGUAUUCCGUCGUUUUCUACUCCUCAUCAACAAUUACGGCUCACAUGAUUUUGCAAUAUCGCUCGGAGAUGUCUAAGAACAUCUUUGGCUGUGUAACCAAUGCGCUAUUUGUCAUUCUUGUCCUUCAGGAGCCUCUAAACAACGUCCAUAUUCAACGGCUUCAACCUAGAAUUAUCUCCCGCGUUACGGGUGUUCGAAACACACACGAGACAAACAAAUACAGCUCAGACCAGAAUGUCAAAUAUUCCACAAAAUUAUUGAUUCCGACCGGCAAUUCGUCCCAGACCCUGGUGAUACCAUCGCUAGGGUAACUAACUACUAGUACUAUGCGGCGAUUCGCAGAGGAAAGUUAUGUCUUAUACGUCGAGAAACACAGGAGGAGGGUAGUUAGUUAAUUCAGAGUAGGUGGGUACGUUGCAAAAAUGAUCUAUUGUAAUACAUUGUACAAUAUGAGCUUUAACAAUUCCUCAGUUUUUAAGUAUUGCAUUUUUACGUAAAGGACACAGACCUUUCUUAUUUAAAAUUUUUGCUCAAUAUAGAAUGGACAAGUAUUGAUUUAUAUAAUUAGUAUAAAAUAAAAUAAUAAUUUACCCACUUCAAGAAAAAAAGGAGUUAUGUAGUUUUUUUCAUCUCUAGUUUUUUAUUUUUUUAUUUUGUAUUGUUUAGAUGGGUGGACAAGCUCACAGCCCACCUGGUGUUAAGUGGUUACUGGAGCACAUAGACAGCUACAACGUAAAUGCGCCACCCACCUUUAGACAUCAGUUCUAAGAUCUCAGUAUAGUUACAACGGCUGCCCUACCCUUCAGAUCGAAACGCAUUACUGCUUCACGGCAGAAAUAGGCAAGGCGGUGGUACCUACCCGCGCGGACUCAGCAGAGAUCCUACCACCAAUUUGAUCGUUACAACUGACGUGACGCCCUUAUACGUAACGUACAUAAACGUGCCUACAAAUUCUUGAUUUUCUCUUUUCAUCGGUACGUUACUCUUAUAGGUAAGUUUUUAAAAAUUGUUAGAAAUUUCUUGUAUUAUUGCGAUUCCAAAAGCAGAUGCGGUACUAUUAUCGAGCCCAGAUAGAUGGAUUUAUAACAAGACGAUUGAAUAAUAUAUUGACCUACUUGUGAAAAAAAGUUUCGAUGUUAUACAACUUACACAAAUGUAAAUGAAUAUUAAAUAAUAAGUAUACUUACAGUGUGGAAUGAUGGUGUCUGUGAUCGUGCCGCAGGCGCGGCCCCCCCGGCGCGCCCAGCCGCUCCAUGCCCGCGCACCCCGGCGCUUGUACCGAGAGCAUCUGCAAAUCACAACACACUGCUCUCACUUAUGUGGUCAUCUUCUACGUCAAUCGGAUUUAGGUUUUACUGGUGGUAGGACCUCUUGUGAGUCCGCGCGGUUGGGUACCACCACCCUGCCUAUUUCUGCCGUGAAGUAGUAAUGCGUUUCGAUUUAAAGGGCGGGGCAGCCGUUGUAACUAUACUUGAGACCUUAGAAUUUAUAUCUCAAGGUGUGUGGCGCAUUUACGUUGUGGAUGUCUAUGGGCUCCAGUAACCACUUAACACAAGGUGGGCUGUGAGCUCGUCUACCCAACUAAGCAAUAAAAAAAAAGAUUUUCUUUUUUACUUGGGACAGCCGUUACAAUGAGAACUUCGACCUGAUUUCUUAAAGUGGAUGGAUAGCAUUAAUGCUGUUAUGUCUACGAUCUUGAUCUACAAGAAAAUUAUACAGAAAUGUAAUAAUGUAUUAUUCCAUGAGAUGAUUUUGCAUUGAUUCACAUUUGGAAUCACCCAAAAUAUAAUAUAUAUUUUUUGUGAUUCUUUGUGUUUUUUCUACAAGCAUGACUGGUCUUUGACCUUUUAAUUUUUCAUUGACUAAGUACUUAUUUUGUGUUAAUACCAAAAAUCAGAUUACAUCAUGCUAUUUUUAUGUAUUACAUAAUUGUCUUUACUGCAGCAUUUCAAAAAUAUUCCAUUUUGUUAUUUGUUAGCAAUAAUAUGAUAUUCAAGUAUGAAAAUAAACUCCUCUUACUUAUUUCCAAGAAGUGUGACUUGAACUUUCUUACCAUGUUUUGUAAUUUAAUCUUCUUUGAGUAAUAACAUCCGUCUGUAUAGUCAAUAUUAGUUUGUUUUGAAAGCUAUUGAUUGGUAUGCAAGAUUCUAUUUUAUGUGUAGAAUUUAUGAGGCUUAACAAUGUUUUGCUUUGAAAUUGAUCAUGUUGAGUUGUAGACUAAACAAUUUGCCAUCAUCCAAUGACAUUUCAAUGCAAAAAUUAUUGAUAGCAUAUACAAUUCCAUUGGUUUAAAAUAUUUCAGAUACCUUUAAAAUACAUGGGUAUGUAAAAUGGGUCAAAUGUUCAAAUUUUGUUGUCUCUGGCUCUCAUUAUCAUAAGAAUGAAACAAAUAAAAAAGUGUUGAUAUAACUCAUAUUGGAUUUUGUAACAUUUUCUAACAAAAAAAAAAACAUAUCUUAUUUAGUCAAUUUGUGAUCUGUUCUGUAAUAAACAGUUUAACUUAACAUAUUUUUUUUAUUACAAUUAUUUGUAUUUUCAUUACAGAUAAUAGAAUAGAUAAUGCAUUUAGGCAAGCCUAGUGGGAUUUUUGCACCUAUUCAUUCAAAUGUUUAGUGACUAAGACAUCCUGUCUUAAAUAUAUUGGGGCUCUAAACCAUAGUUAUAUUAUUCUCAUUUUUAUAAUA